AUAGCGUAUAUUAAAGUUGUUGCAGUUAAAAAGCUCGUAGUUGAACCUUGGGCCUGGCUGGCCGGUCCGCCUCACCGCGUGCACUGGUCCGGCCGGGCCUUUCCUUCUGGGGAGCCGCAUGCCCUUCACUGGGUGUGUCGGGGAACCAGGACUUUUACUUUGAAAAAAUUAGAGUGUUCAAAGCAGGCCUAUGCUCGAAUACAUUAGCAUGGAAUAAUAGAAUAGGACGUGUGGUUCUAUUUUGUUGGUUUCUAGAGCCGCCGUAAUGAUUAAUAGGGAUAGUCGGGGGCAUCAGUAUUCAAUUGUCAGAGGUGAAAUUCUUGGAUUUAUUGAAGACUAACUACUG
RNAcentral lists this ribosomal RNA (346 nucleotides) under uncultured eukaryote. Its description in RNAcentral is "SSU rRNA". It matches the Rfam family "Eukaryotic small subunit ribosomal RNA", at positions 594 to 945 of the family's 1831-position model. The record is from RNAcentral.